RNAcentral lists this ribosomal RNA (474 nucleotides) under uncultured bacterium. Its description in RNAcentral is "bacterial SSU rRNA". It matches the Rfam family "Bacterial small subunit ribosomal RNA", at positions 38 to 507 of the family's 1533-position model. The record is from RNAcentral.
GGCGGCAUGCCUUACACAUGCAACGUCAACGGCAGCACGGGAGCAAUCCUGGUGGCGAGUGGCGAACGGGUGAGUAAUAUAUCGGAACGUGCCCAGUCGGUGGGGGAUAACGUAGCGAAAGCUACGCUAAUACCGCAUACGAUCUAUGGAUGAAAGCGGGGGAUCGCAAGACCUCGCGCGAUUGGAGCGGCCGAUAUCAGAUUAGGUAGUUGGUGAGGUAAAGGCUCACCAAGCCGACGAUCUGUAGCUGGUCUGAGAGGACGACCAGCCACACUGGGACUGAGACACGGCCCAGACUCCUACGGGAGGCAGCAGUGGGAAUUUUGGACAAUGGGCGCAAGCCUGAUCCAGCAAUGCCGCGUGCAGGAUGAAGGCCUUCGGGUUGUAAACUGCUUUUGUACGGAACGAAACGGUGAGCUCUAAUACAGUUUGCUAAUGACGGUACCGUAAGAAUAAGCACCGGCUAACUACGUG